Molecule: unclassified non-coding RNA, 146 nt
Filed under: uncultured Helotiales
Lineage: Eukaryota; Fungi; Ascomycota; Leotiomycetes; Helotiales
Description: sequence contains ITS2
Source: RNAcentral
UAACCACUCAAGCCUUCGCUUGGUCUUGGGGUACGCGGUCCCGCGGCUCCUAAAAUCAGUGGCGGUGCCUGUCGGCUCUACGCGUAGUAAUACUCCUCGCGAUUGAGUCCGGUGGGCCACCUGCCAGCAACCCCCAAAUUUUUACA